This is a non-coding RNA of Oryza sativa Japonica Group (Japanese rice), 1935 nucleotides long. NCBI's taxonomy places the organism in Eukaryota, Viridiplantae, Streptophyta, Magnoliopsida, Poales, Poaceae. The record is from RefSeq and is a predicted model, not a curated record.
AUCCGCCGCCGCCACGCGUCACCGAAAGCCGUCGCCGACCAACGAAACCGCCAUCGUCGGCCAAUCCGACGAGGCCACCCGGCGCCGCUUCUCUGCAUUUAAAUCGAAGCACGCUGUGCCGUCGCCGGUUUCUCUUCUAUCCACCGCCUCUCGCCGCCUAUAAAAGGACGACGAGGUUCCCUCUUCCUCCCCACACAAACCGAGCUCCUCAAGCUCUCUCUCUUUCUCUCCCAUGUCCGGCCAUUAGUGCCACCGGCAGAUCUCCCUCACCGGAGUUUCGCAAGCCAAGCCCUUGCGCCACCAACUCCGCCUCGCCGAGGUGAUUCCAUUUUUCCCAUUUCCCCUUUUCCUCCACCUUGAGAUAAGCCGCCGCCACCACCACCUUCUCUUAUCGCCGGAGCUGAGCUCUUGUCGCCGCUGUUCCGGCCACCCCUCUCUCUCCCUCCGCCUUCCACCACCCUCCCCGGGUGCGCGUUGCUCGGGAACACCAUCUCCAACCGGCGUUCUCACCUCCAGGCCACCGGAGAGCCGGCGCCUUGCUUGCCCUCCUCUCUGUUACCUCUCAGCUGCCAAACAGAAGAAAAAAAAAAGAACGAGAGGAAGAACAGGAAGGAGAAGGCAUUGACAAACAAUACAGAAGAUCUCAUCGACAUCACAGGAGCUGGCGUGGAUCCAGCCGACUACGCUGAAGCCUUCGAAAGUUUCAAGGCACAAGGCAAGACAAUUAAAAUUUUGAGCACAUUAAAUAAUCAACCCCCAUAUUUACUUUAUGCAUAAGUUAAUCAUAUGAAUAACACUAUGGUGGUUUCAAAUGAUAUAUAAUGCUUUUAAACAUUGUUAUAUGAGAUUAUGGAAAGAUACACUGAACAUCAUUUUAUGUGGUUUACUAUUCAAACAUCUUUUACAAACUUAGAAUUCGGUUAAAAUGGGCAUUUGUGAAUGUUGAUAUAUGAUGAAGUUUGUUGGUGUGGGGAGUUUGGAAAGUUUUGGGUGGUUUAACCGGAUUAUAAUUACCCCCUUAUACCAUAGAAAUGACAUAGUUGCGUCCAUCCACACGAUCAAGUAAUUGGACUUAGCCUAGUACAUUGUCCCACUAUAUGAAAGACUGUUGGUUGGCUCACUAGAAGCAGGAUUGGGGUAAACGCAUGUGUAAGGAGGUUGGGGGCAUGGUUAACAACGGUGGAACCCGUGAAAGCAGCAACCAAGUAGCCUUGCUUAGGCCCAGCAAGUGCCCGACUGCUAGGACGGAUCAAUAUCCCACUCGUGCAGUAACUAGUAGUAAGUGGGACCUUCGAACGGCUCUGGUGUCCUCAGCCUUGCAAACUGUUGACAUCGUGUGGGUAAAGCUGGACAGUCUCUGCAGAGGUGAAUUAAAUCAUUUGAAUGUCCGUACUCCCGAUUCUGGAGUUGUGUCAUAAGGGUGAUUCCUACUCCUGACAUAUAAGUAGUUUUAAACAUAAAAUAGUGGUAAAGAUAAUGAGAAUUUGCUGUUAUAUUUAUUUUCUCUUUAUUUUAAUAUCUUAUGCUUAGAAGGAUCAUAUUUAAAUUUCCAUGAUUAUGUUCAUAACAUAUUAUAAGUGUCUUGCAGAGUACAUAAGUACUCAUUCUUGAAUUAUUUAACAUAUAGAAGAACCGUGUUAUGAAGAAGUCCCAGAAGGUAGCGAGGCCUACUACAACGACGAGUUUUUCUAGGCUUAAUCUAUACUCAAGCUUAUGCCUGUGAAGUUUAGUAGCUUUGGGUUUUUCUUUGUACUUUCAAAUAAGGUUGUAAUAGUUUGUAUCUUUAAAACCAUUAACAGUUGUAUAAUUAGUUUGCAUGAACAAAUUUGUAUAAUUAAUCGAAAGCUGUUCUGUAUAUCAAUCUGUGCGUGAUCGAAAUCCUGGACGAUCACGAGUGGACUUUCGGGGCACCAAGCCUAAAUUGGGUGUCCCCAC